CGAAGUAUUUUCUUUUGUAUCUUUUGUCGGACUACUUGUAGGGCUGUCUGCCGAAGUGUGGUUCAGUACCACACGCUAUAGCGAAACAUCUUGCGACGGAAAACGACAGUAAGCGUUUCUCACUGGACACGUUUGGAGUGUGUGUUCUUUUGGGGUUUGGUACCUGGUCCCCGGACCUUUUAGUAAUCGGUUUCACUUUAAAUCCUUUGUUCAAGGUUACUGUCACUAGGCCAACAUGUUUGUAUGAACGCUGAGAAACACCUUUUUUCACGUCACACUCAUAACUCGCACGCUAGCCUCUAACAAAGGUAAUUUGCUGGCUUUAUGAACUCAUUUCUCAUUUCAUUCAUUGAACGUUUUCUACUUUACUGUUAUUUUUGCAUUUUAACUUUUUCUUUCAAGUAGAAUCCUUCCUUCCACUGCCCCAACCCUCUGUUGUUACUCAUGCAUCCCAAAACACCCUAUUCUCAAUAGAGCAAUGUAAUCAGGACGAGUGCGCUAUGUAAGGCAUAUGGUCUAGUUUGGAAGUUGUGAAAUAGGCAUGUUGCCUAGAUAUUACAAGAAUGAGAAAAUAUUAAAUAAAACCGUUUGUUUCUGUAACUGACUUAUAUUUGAUAUGUAAUAGGCUAUUCAUUACACCACAGUUCACUGUUACUAAGUUUUGUAUGUCUCAAAGUUUUGGGAUCCGUGUCCCAGUUUCAUUUGUGUCGGGGAAGCAAGUGGAACUAUUUCGUUUCACCUGUGUUGUCGGGUCAGUUGUGUUGCAUGAGAGAAAGCCACUACAAAACAAGGAAGUACGCCUAAUUACCUUCAUGGUGUCAUGUUACCAGGUUACCAGUUUUUGUUUGUUCGUUCGUUGCCUAGGAGUUAAAAGACAAUUAAAAGCCAGUGCCGUCUCUCCGGUGAGUUUGGAAGGCUCUGGGGUUUGAGGACACCGCGGUCGGGGAACCGAAGAAUAACUAGAAUUUCCAAUAGGCGUAGACAAACGCGCUGCGAUGUCUCCCGUCAAACCGUCGAAGCCUCUGGUCAGACAAAUGACACCUCCAAGAGGCACAGGAAGCGGGACCGGUAACGGACCUUUAGACCCGGGAGAGUUCGAAAUGAUCCGUCAGGCAGCCCGUCUGGCCUGGCAGAGAGAAGCGUCUCAACGGGAGAACAGCCCGACCACGUACGGCGGCCAGCACUCGGCCAAGACCCUCGAUGAACCUACGUGGAAUCGAGCCAGGCCGUGUUCACCUACACGGAGACAUCGACCUCAUCCCUGCUAGUGCACCAGUAACCACCCAGAUACAGUGAGAAGUCAGAUAGCGUAGACGUUGCCAGGCUGGCUGUACACAGGCCUUCGUCUCCGUGUACAUACAAGCAGUGAAACGUUACAAUUAAAAACUCGGAAUCCAGA
Molecule: long non-coding RNA, 1399 nt
Organism: Esox lucius (northern pike)
Lineage: Eukaryota; Metazoa; Chordata; Actinopteri; Esociformes; Esocidae
Source: Ensembl